This 480-nucleotide ribosomal RNA is filed under the name Triticum aestivum (bread wheat). RNAcentral's name for it is "partial small subunit ribosomal RNA". Lineage: Eukaryota; Viridiplantae; Streptophyta; Magnoliopsida; Poales; Poaceae. The record is from RNAcentral.
AUGAGUCUUCUGUGUUGGAACUGCCACGGAAUUGGCAAAGCCACGAGAGUUCGAGAGCUUCGUGAUCUAGAGCAAUUUGCCCCCUCCAUCCCUUGCAUCCUGGAAACACAAGCAGAGAGUUCGAGAGUUGACAACAUGGUAGAAUACUUAGCUUACAAUAAAAGUUUUGUUGUAAGCAGUUUAGGUAGAAGUGGUGGUCUCGGUAUUUUUUGGAAUGAUAAAAUAAAACUCGACGUUAUUGGUUACCCCAAGUAUUACAUUGGUGUUCUGGUCGAUGACUUGGUGGAUAUUCAGGUCAGAGUGACUUUUGUGUACGGUGAACUACGCCUUUGCGCGGCACCCGGAGACAGGGUGGUAGUCGUGCACAUCCAAGGGAGCUACGAGCUGUUCUGGGAGCCCGGCACGAUGCACGUGUUCGCCUUGGGCGAGACGUUGUGGCAGCUCGUACACGUCGGCCCGGGUGCACAGGGCCGGCCCUGA